GGUCCGAUGCCACGUCUACGGUAGCUAAUAGAGCAUUGACCGGAGAUGCUAUGAUUGGACCAACAUCAAUUUCAUGUUUCGCAUCUUGAUAGGAAUCUGUGGAUCGAUUGUUCUUGGUUCGUCCACGGAGCCGUUUUAUGCGAUUACAUUU
Molecule: small nucleolar RNA, 151 nt
Organism: Impatiens glandulifera
Lineage: Eukaryota; Viridiplantae; Streptophyta; Magnoliopsida; Ericales; Balsaminaceae
Product: small nucleolar RNA snoR2/U65
Exons: 1
Source: RefSeq, a predicted model, not a curated record